RNAcentral lists this transfer RNA (73 nucleotides) under Stegodyphus mimosarum. It matches the Rfam family "tRNA". Rfam says of the family: Transfer RNA (tRNA) molecules are approximately 80 nucleotides in length. Their secondary structure includes four short double-helical elements and three loops (D, anti-codon, and T loops). Further hydrogen bonds mediate the characteristic L-shaped molecular structure. tRNAs have two regions of fundamental functional importance: the anti-codon, which is responsible for specific mRNA codon recognition, and the 3' end, to which the tRNAs corresponding amino acid is attached (by aminoacyl-tRNA synthetases). tRNAs cope with the degeneracy of the genetic code in two manners: having more than one tRNA (with a specific anti-codon) for a particular amino acid; and 'wobble' base-pairing, i.e. permitting non-standard base-pairing at the 3rd anti-codon position. The record is from Rfam by way of RNAcentral. Lineage: Eukaryota; Metazoa; Arthropoda; Arachnida; Araneae; Eresidae.
GCCUUCGUGAUACAGUGGUCAGCACGCUCGACGCGUAACCGAGAGGUCCGUGGUUCGAUUCCCGGCGAAGGCG